GGGGAUUUAGCUCAGUGGUAGAGCGCUUGCCUAGCAAGCACAAGGCCAUGGGUUCAGUCCUCA
Molecule: transfer RNA, 63 nt
Filed under: Rattus norvegicus (Norway rat)
Lineage: Eukaryota; Metazoa; Chordata; Mammalia; Rodentia; Muridae
Rfam family: tRNA
About the family: Transfer RNA (tRNA) molecules are approximately 80 nucleotides in length. Their secondary structure includes four short double-helical elements and three loops (D, anti-codon, and T loops). Further hydrogen bonds mediate the characteristic L-shaped molecular structure. tRNAs have two regions of fundamental functional importance: the anti-codon, which is responsible for specific mRNA codon recognition, and the 3' end, to which the tRNAs corresponding amino acid is attached (by aminoacyl-tRNA synthetases). tRNAs cope with the degeneracy of the genetic code in two manners: having more than one tRNA (with a specific anti-codon) for a particular amino acid; and 'wobble' base-pairing, i.e. permitting non-standard base-pairing at the 3rd anti-codon position.
Source: Rfam by way of RNAcentral